CAGUAGCCGCGGUAAUACGAAGGGGGCUAGCGUUGCUCGGAAUGACUGGGCGUAAAGGGCGCGUAGGCGGCAUGUACAGUCAGACGUGAAAUUCCUGGGCUUAACCUGGGGGCUGCGUUUGAUACGUGCAGGCUAGAGUGGGGAAGAGGGUUGUGGAAUUCCCAGUGUAGAGGUGAAAUUCGUAGACAUUGGGAAGAACACCGGUGGCGAAGGCGGCAACCUGGUCCUUGACUGACGCUGAGGCGCGAAAGCGUGGGGAGCGAACAGGAUUAGAUACCCCCGUAGUCCCUGUCUCUUAUAC
This 301-nucleotide ribosomal RNA is filed under the name uncultured bacterium. Its description in RNAcentral is "partial 16S ribosomal RNA". It matches the Rfam family "Bacterial small subunit ribosomal RNA", at positions 509 to 807 of the family's 1533-position model. The record is from RNAcentral.